This 463-nucleotide ribosomal RNA is filed under the name Vreelandella stevensii. RNAcentral's name for it is "partial 16S ribosomal RNA". It matches the Rfam family "Bacterial small subunit ribosomal RNA", at positions 338 to 795 of the family's 1533-position model. The record is from RNAcentral. Lineage: Bacteria; Pseudomonadati; Pseudomonadota; Gammaproteobacteria; Oceanospirillales; Halomonadaceae.
CCUACGGGCGGCAGCAGUGGGGAAUAUUGGACAAUGGGGGCAACCCUGAUCCAGCCAUGCCGCGUGUGUGAAGAAGGCCCUCGGGUUGUAAAGCACUUUCAGUGAGGAAGAACGCCUGGUGGUUAAUACCCAUCAGGAAAGACAUCACUCACAGAAGAAGCACCGGCUAACUCCGUGCCAGCAGCCGCGGUAAUACGGAGGGUGCGAGCGUUAAUCGGAAUUACUGGGCGUAAAGCGCGCGUAGGUGGCUUGAUAAGCCGGUUGUGAAAGCCCCGGGCUCAACCUGGGAACGGCAUCCGGAACUGUCAAGCUAGAGUGCAGGAGAGGAAGGUAGAAUUCCCGGUGUAGCGGUGAAAUGCGUAGAGAUCGGGAGGAAUCCCAGUGGCGAAGGCGGCCUUCUGGACUGACACUGACACUGAGGUGCGAAAGCGUGGGUAGCAAACAGGAUUAGAUACCCCUAGUC